RNAcentral lists this ribosomal RNA (328 nucleotides) under uncultured eukaryote. RNAcentral's name for it is "partial 18S ribosomal RNA". It matches the Rfam family "Eukaryotic small subunit ribosomal RNA", at positions 1470 to 1796 of the family's 1831-position model. The record is from RNAcentral.
CCCUUAGAUGUUCUGGGCUGCACGCGCGCUACACUGAUGCACUCAACGAGUUUACGAGCUUGUCCGAGAGGAUUGGCUAAUCUUUUUAAAAUGCAUCGUGAUGGGGAUAGAUUAUUGCAAUUAUUAAUCUUCAACGAGGAAUUCCUAGUAAGCGCGAGUCAUCAGCUCGUGCUGAUUACGUCCCUGCCCUUUGUACACACCGCCCGUCGCUACUACCGAUCGGAUGGCUUAGUGAGUUUGAGGGAUCACGUUUCAAGGAUGCUUUGCGUCUUUGGAGUGUGAAAACUCACACAAACUUGAUCAUCUAGAGGAAGUAAAAGUCGUAACA